AUGUCCAGCUGCAGGCUGUGGGGGACAGACCUGCUGAGGGUACAGUGCUGGCUGCCAUCAGAGGCCACAGUCGCCAUCCUGUCUGCACUCUGCCAUGCCUAUGGAGAUGAGUUACACCCCUGCCACAAAGACAAUGGCAACAGUGACAUUGAAUCUAAUCAGGGUCCUGACCUUCUGAAGCAGGACGCCAAACCAUGGCUUCUGAUGGGUAAUUAGUGAAACACUAAGGGGUAAGUACAGCUGUCACUGGCAUCGAUUCUUUGGCAGUACCUGGUCUGGGCAUCGUUUUGUUCAGGCAGUGCUGCGACAUACUGAACCACCAAUUCAGCUCAUCUCGGCUCCCAGCAUCUACCCACAUCGCCGUCCAAAGGCCUGCCUGAUUGCUUGGCAUCUCCUGCUGCAACAUCUGCCAUCUCUGCUGUUCCAGCAGAAAGGGUGCCCUUCAGCAGGGCCUCUGCUUGUUCAUACAGUGACACAUGACCCCAGCCUCAGCGUGACUUGGAGACUUCAGUAAGGAGCAGUGAGUAAUCCUUUCCUCUCCACACACACACACACACACACACCAAUCGAAUGAGGCAAACAUAGGUGUUCCCACCUGAUUUACAUAUUAACAGAUGUGGGACAGAGGCAGGAGAAAAUCAGGUCCAGUGGGACCUGAAAGAAGUUGAUGUACAUGCAAGUUUUGCAGAUGGGGCAAGUAUGUAAGAAGUAAAGCAAGAAUAGGUGUCUUUAUCUAUCUCUGGUGGAUGUCCAGAGUUAGGACUUAAAGCGCAGCUGUUAGUGUAGUGGUUAGAGCUCCUGCAUUUGAAUCUAGAGGUCAUAGGUUUAUAUCCCACCUCUAGCUGUAGUACCCUUAAGAAAGGUACUUACUCUAAAUUGCUCCAGUAAAAUUGCCCAGUGUAUAAAUGGGUAAAUAACUGUAAGUAGCUUAACACUGUGAGUUGCUGUGGAGAAAAGUGUCAGCUAUAAAUAAAUGUAAUUGUAGCUCUGGUGCUGGGGUACA
RNAcentral lists this long non-coding RNA (1003 nucleotides) under Scleropages formosus (Asian bonytongue). RNAcentral's name for it is "lncRNA (ENSSFOG00015030072.1)". Lineage: Eukaryota; Metazoa; Chordata; Actinopteri; Osteoglossiformes; Osteoglossidae. The record is from RNAcentral.